RNAcentral lists this ribosomal RNA (484 nucleotides) under uncultured bacterium. Its description in RNAcentral is "partial 16S ribosomal RNA". It matches the Rfam family "Bacterial small subunit ribosomal RNA", at positions 28 to 507 of the family's 1533-position model. The record is from RNAcentral.
AUUGAACGCUGGCGGCAUGCUUUACACAUGCAAGUCGAACGGCAGCGCGGGCUUCGGCCUGGCGGCGAGUGGCGAACGGGUGAGUAAUGCAUCGGAACGUGCCCAGUAGUGGGGGAUAGCCCGGCGAAAGCCGGAUUAAUACCGCAUACGACCUGAGGGUGAAAGCGGGGGACCGAAAGGCCUCGCGCUAUUGGAGCGGCCGAUGUCGGAUUAGCUAGUUGUUGGGGUAAAGGCUUACCAAGGCGACGAUCCGUAGCUGGUCUGAGAGGACGACCAGCCACACUGGGACUGAGACACGGCCCAGACUCCUACGGGAGGCAGCAGUGGGGAAUUUUGGACAAUGGGGGCAACCCUGAUCCAGCCAUGCCGCGUGCGGGAAGAAGGCCUUCGGGUUGUAAACCGCUUUUGUUCGGGAAGAAAUCCUCUGGGCUAAUACCCCGGGGGGAUGACGGUACCGGAAGAAUAAGCACCGGCUAACUACGUG